Molecule: ribosomal RNA, 464 nt
Filed under: Vreelandella stevensii
Lineage: Bacteria; Pseudomonadati; Pseudomonadota; Gammaproteobacteria; Oceanospirillales; Halomonadaceae
Description: partial 16S ribosomal RNA
Rfam family: Bacterial small subunit ribosomal RNA
Source: RNAcentral
CCUACGGUGUGCUGCAGUGGGGAAUAUUGGACAAUGGGCGAAAGCCUGAUCCAGCCAUGCCGCGUGUGUGAAGAAGGCCUUCGGGUUGUAAAGCACUUUCAGUGGGGAAGAAAGCCUUGGGGCUAAUACCCUCGAGGAAGGACAUCACCCACAGAAGAAGCACCGGCUAACUCCGUGCCAGCAGCCGCGGUAAUACGGAGGGUGCGAGCGUUAAUCGGAAUUACUGGGCGUAAAGCGCGCGUAGGCGGUCUGAUAAGCCGGUUGUGAAAGCCCCGGGCUCAACCUGGGAACGGCAUCCGGAACUGGCAGGCUAGGGGGCAGAAGAGAAAGGUAGAUUCCCGGGUGUAGGGGUGAAAUGGGAAGGGAUCGGGAGAAAUACCGGUGGCGAAGGCGGCCUUCUGGACUGCCACUGCCGCUGGGGUGCGAAGGCGUGGUAGCAAACAGGAUUAGAUACCCGAGUAGUC